UAAUACAGAGGUCUCAAGCGUUGUUCGGAAUCACUGGGCUUAAAGGGUGCGUAGGCGGCUUGGUAAGUCAGAUGUGAAAGGCGGGGGCUCAACCUCCGGACUGCAUCCGAUACUGCCAAGCUAGAGUACUGGAGAGGUGUCUAGAAUUCUCGGUGUAGCAGUGAAAUGCGUAGAUAUCGAGAGGAAUACCAAUGGCGAAGGCAGGACACUGGACAGUUACUGACGCUGAGGCACGAAGGCUAGGGUAGCGAACGGGAUUAGAUACCCUGGUAGUCC
RNAcentral lists this ribosomal RNA (276 nucleotides) under uncultured bacterium. RNAcentral describes it as "partial 16S ribosomal RNA". It matches the Rfam family "Bacterial small subunit ribosomal RNA", at positions 521 to 796 of the family's 1533-position model. The record is from RNAcentral.